Molecule: non-coding RNA, 148 nt
Filed under: Nomascus leucogenys (northern white-cheeked gibbon)
Lineage: Eukaryota; Metazoa; Chordata; Mammalia; Primates; Hylobatidae
Source: Rfam by way of RNAcentral
GCUGGGUGUGGUGGUGCGUGCCUGUAAUCCCAGCUACUUGGGAGGCUGAGGCAGGAGAAUUGCUUGAACCCAGGAGGCGGAGGUUGCAGUGAGCUGAGAUCAUGCCACUGCAGUCCAGCCUGGGUGACAGAGUCAGAUUUUGUUUCAA